This is a non-coding RNA of Arachis ipaensis, 340 nucleotides long. The record is from RefSeq and is a predicted model, not a curated record. NCBI's taxonomy places the organism in Eukaryota, Viridiplantae, Streptophyta, Magnoliopsida, Fabales, Fabaceae.
GUAUAUUGUCCAUUUAGUUGGUUGUAUCUUGUGCAUUCAUUUGGGUCUAUUUUAUACCUGUAUCAUAUUUUGUCUGAAUAACAUGAAAUCUGUUUAGAAUACCGGCUGUGAACUUGGGAAGUGAUGAUCCUUCCUCUCAAGGAGGCACAGAACAAAGUAGUGUAAACAAGCCUGCAGAGAGCAUGUUGAGUCCGGUUCAACAGUCAGCCAGUGAGCCGGCUGAUUCGAAUAUGAUGGUUGUGAGGGAACAGACACCGUCGGAUGCGCUUGUAAUAGUUCCGAUUCAAGUUUUUGUGCCAAUGUCCCAAACAACCACUGUGCCGGAACUUGAAGAAACACC